RNAcentral lists this ribosomal RNA (884 nucleotides) under Mucochytrium quahogii. Its description in RNAcentral is "labyrinthulid quahog parasite QPX partial Eukaryotic small subunit ribosomal RNA". It matches the Rfam family "Eukaryotic small subunit ribosomal RNA", at positions 534 to 1459 of the family's 1831-position model. Lineage: Eukaryota; Bigyra; Thraustochytrida; Thraustochytriidae. The record is from RNAcentral.
UCAACGAGGAUCAAUUGGAGGGCAAGUCUGGUGCCAGCAGCCGCGGUAAUUCCAGCUCCGUUAGCGUAUAUUAAAUUUGUUGCAGUUAAAAAGCUCGUAGUUGAAUUUCUGGUAGGAGUGACCUGGCCUUUGACGAAUGUCAAUGUUUGCUGUGUGUCAUCUCUGGCCAUCCUCGGCCUGCUUUUAGUAGGCCGUCAUUUACUGUAAAAAAAUUAGAGUGUUUCAAGCAUUUUGUAUGAAAAGAAUAUAUUAGUAUGGAAUAAUAAGAUAGGACUUUGGUGCUAUUUUGUUGGUUUGCACACCAAAGUAAUGAUGAAUAGGGACAGUUGGGGGUAUUCGUAUUUAAUUGUCAGAGGUGAAAUUCUUGGAUUUAUGAAAGACGAACUACUGCGAAGGCAUUUACCAAGGAUGUUUUCAUUGAUCAAGAACGAAAGUAUGGGGAUCGAAGAUGAUUAGAUACCAUCGUAGUCUAUACUUCAAACUAUGCCGACUUGCGAUUGUCUGGUGGUGUUUUUUGGCCCCAGGCAGCAGCACAUGAGAAAUCAAAGUCUUUGGGUUCCGGGGGGAGUAUGGUCGCAAGAUUGAAACUUAAAGGAAUUGACGGAAGGGCACCACCAGGUGUGGAGCCUGCGGCUUAAUUUGACUCAACACGGGGAAACUUACCAGGUCCAGACAUAGGAAGGAUUGACAGAUUGAGAGCUCUUUCUUGAUUCUAUGGGUGGUGGUGCAUGGCCGUUCUUAGUUGGUGGAGCGAUUUGUCUGGUUAAUUCCGUUAACGAACGAGACCUCAGCCUGCUAACUAGCUAUGCGGAGGUGACCCUCCGCGGCCAGCUUCUUAGAGGGACUAUGGCCGCUUAGGCCAAGGAAGUUUGAGGCAAUAACAG